RNAcentral lists this ribosomal RNA (514 nucleotides) under uncultured bacterium. RNAcentral's name for it is "bacterial SSU rRNA". It matches the Rfam family "Bacterial small subunit ribosomal RNA", at positions 10 to 518 of the family's 1533-position model. The record is from RNAcentral.
AGUUUGAUUAUGGCUCAGGAUGAACGCUAGCGGCAGGCCUAAUACAUGCAAGUCGGACGGGAACUCCCCGUUCGGGGGAGUGAGAGUGGCGCACGGGUGCGUAACGCGUAUGCAACCAACCCCUUUCCGGGGGACAGCCGGUGGAAACGCCGGGUAAUACCCCAUGCCGACGCGGGAGGGCAUCCUCCUGUGUCGAAAGACGCGAGUCGGAGAGGGACGGGCAUGCGUCCCAUUAGCUAGUCGGCGGGGUGACGGCCCACCGAGGCGACGAUGGGUAGGGGAUCUGAGAGGACGGUCCCCCCACACUGGUACUGAGACACGGACCAGACUCCUACGGGAGGCAGCAGUAAGGAAUAUUGGGCAAUGGGGGGAACCCUGACCCAGCCAUGCCGCGUGAGGGAAGUAGGCCCUACGGGUCGUGAACCUCUUUUGCCGGGGGACAAGGACGCGCACGGGAUGCGCGUUUGCGGGUACCCGGCGAAUAAGCAUCGGCUAACUCCGUGCCAGCCGCCGC